RNAcentral lists this unclassified non-coding RNA (427 nucleotides) under plant metagenome. RNAcentral's name for it is "partial contains 5.8S ribosomal RNA, internal transcribed spacer 2, and large subunit ribosomal RNA". It matches the Rfam family "Bacterial small subunit ribosomal RNA", at positions 358 to 777 of the family's 1533-position model. The record is from RNAcentral.
GGAAUCUUCCACAAUGGGCGCAAGCCUGAUGGAGCAACACCGCGUGAGUGAAGAAGGGUUUCGGCUCGUAAAGCUCUGUUGUUGGAGAAGAACGUGCGUGAGAGUAACUGUUCACGCAGUGACGGUAUCCAACCAGAAAGUCACGGCUAACUACGUGCCAGCAGCCGCGGUAAUACGUAGGUGGCAAGCGUUAUCCGGAUUUAUUGGGCGUAAAGCGAGCGCAGGCGGUUGCUUAGGUCUGAUGUGAAAGCCUUCGGCUUAACCGAAGAAGUGCAUCGGAAACCGGGCGACUUGAGUGCAGAAGAGGACAGUGGAACUCCAUGUGUAGCGGUGGAAUGCGUAGAUAUAUGGAAGAACACCAGUGGCGAAGGCGGCUGUCUGGUCUGCAACUGACGCUGAGGCUCGAAAGCAUGGGUAGCGAACAGGA